UCCUUCCGUUAGGGAACCUGCGGAAGGAUCAUUA
Molecule: ribosomal RNA, 34 nt
Filed under: Candida albicans
Lineage: Eukaryota; Fungi; Ascomycota; Pichiomycetes; Serinales; Debaryomycetaceae
Description: partial 18S ribosomal RNA
Source: RNAcentral